CAGCAUGAGUUAUGUCAUGUUAUCGAUAUGUGAAUACAUAGCAUAUCAGAAGGCACACCCGGAGAACUGAAACAUCUUAGUACCCGGAGGAAGAGAAAGAAAAUUCGAUUCCCUUAGUAGCGGCGAGCGAAACGGGAAGAGCCCAAACCAACAAGCUUGCUUGUUGGGGUUGUAGGACACUCUAUACGGAGUUACAAAGGACGACAUUAGACGAAUCAUCUGGAAAGAUGAAUCAAAGAAGGUAAUAAUCCUGUAGUCGAAAAUGUUGUCUCUCUUGAGUGGAUCCUGAGUACGACGGAGCACGUGAAAUUCCGUCGGAAUCUGGGAGGACCAUCUCCUAAGGCUAAAUACUCUCUAGUGACCGAUAGUGAACCAGUACCGUGAGGGAAAGGUGAAAAGCACCCCGGAAGGGGAGUGAAAUAGAACCUGAAACCGUGUGCUUACAAGUAGUCAGAGCCCGUUAAUGGGUGAUGGCGUGCCUUUUGUAGAAUGAACCGGCGAGUUACGAUUUGAUGCAAGGUUAAGCAGUAAAUGUGGAGCCGUAGCGAAAGCGAGUCUGAAUAGGGCGUUUAGUAUUUGGUCGUAGACCCGAAACCAGGUGAUCUACCCUUGGUCAGGUUGAAGUUCAGGUAACACUGAAUGGAGGACCGAACCGACUUACGUUGAAAAGUGAGCGGAUGAACUGAGGGUAGCGGAGAAAUUCCAAUCGAACCUGGAGAUAGCUGGUUCUCUCCGAAAUAGCUUUAGGGCUAGCCUCAAGUGAUGAUUAUUGGAGGUAGAGCACUGUUUGGACGAGGGGCCCCUCUCGGGUUACCGAAUUCAGACAAACUCCGAAUGCCAAUUAAUUUAACUUGGGAGUCAGAACAUGGGUGAUAAGGUCCGUGUUCGAAAGGGAAACAGCCCAGACCACCAGCUAAGGUCCCAAAAUAUAUGUUAAGUGGAAAAGGAUGUGGCGUUGCCCAGACAACUAGGAUGUUGGCUUAGAAGCAGCCAUCAUUUAAAGAGUGCGUAAUAGCUCACUAGUCGAGUGACACUGCGCCGAAAAUGUACCGGGGCUAAACAUAUUACCGAAGCUGUGGAUUGUCCUUUGGACAAUGGUAGGAGAGCGUUCUAAGGGCGUUGAAGCAUGAUCGUAAGGACAUGUGGAGCGCUUAGAAGUGAGAAUGCCGGUGUGAGUAGCGAAAGACGGGUGAGAAUCCCGUCCACCGAUUGACUAAGGUUUCCAGAGGAAGGCUCGUCCGCUCUGGGUUAGUCGGGUCCUAAGCUGAGGCCGACAGGCGUAGGCGAUGGAUAACAGGUUGAUAUUCCUGUACCACCUAUAAUCGUUUUAAUCGAUGGGGGGACGCAGUAGGAUAGGCGAAGCGUGCGAUUGGAUUGCACGUCUAAGCAGUAAGGCUGAGUAUUAGGCAAAUCCGGUACUCGUUAAGGCUGAGC
Molecule: ribosomal RNA, 1434 nt
Filed under: Staphylococcus aureus
Lineage: Bacteria; Bacillati; Bacillota; Bacilli; Caryophanales; Staphylococcaceae
Description: partial 23S ribosomal RNA
Rfam family: Bacterial large subunit ribosomal RNA
Source: RNAcentral